Armigeres subalbatus is the source of this 396-nucleotide long non-coding RNA. RefSeq lists it as uncharacterized. The record is from RefSeq and is a predicted model, not a curated record. NCBI's taxonomy places the organism in Eukaryota, Metazoa, Arthropoda, Insecta, Diptera, Culicidae. The transcript has 4 exons.
ACAUAAUCAAAAUUUCAGAUGGGACCUUUGGUAACAAUGUUGAAAUUCUGAUUUUUUUUAAAUAUUUAAAGUAUUUUCUUAGUGCAAGUAUCAUAAGACACCAUAGAUAUCAGUGCAGGAACAAACAAGGAACUUUUGAAAUUCCAUACUUCAGGGAACUACCAGUGGGGCGUGCCAAUGCCAUCAGAGUACCCAGGAAGAACAUCCCGAAUGAAAUGGAUAAUUUCCCGUUUUAUUUGGAUACACAUUCGAUCAAUCGCACCCAUUCUACAAGCAAGAUACGAACAAAUUGGAAUCGAAACAGGAAGCUCUGUGUUGUUGCGCUCAUCAAGGAAAUUAAUGGAAAGGAUCAUAUAGUGCCGUCGAAGGUACACCGAAGCUUGGAAUGUGAAGUUU